Bombus pyrosoma is the source of this 3447-nucleotide long non-coding RNA. RefSeq lists it as uncharacterized. The record is from RefSeq and is a predicted model, not a curated record. Lineage: Eukaryota; Metazoa; Arthropoda; Insecta; Hymenoptera; Apidae. The transcript has 6 exons.
GAUACCGCAAAACAUCGUAGAAAAUGUAAGAAAUCGCUCAAGACAUGACAGAAAACAUCACGUAAUACAUUACGCAAAAUUUCAUCCUUAGUUUCAGUACAUUCGUGAUGUACUUGAACGAUCAAUAAACAUUUAUCCACAGAGGCAGGUUUUUGUUGAUCUUCUUGCUCUUGUAUAGCUCUCGUUGUUGUUUUUCUUGCUCUCUUCACUGAGCGUAAUUUGUCUUUUCGAGUUAUUUAUAGGUUGCGUUGCGAUUUUCUGAGGCAGAAGUACAUGUAAGUGUAAAAUUCUAUACUUUCUGAUGCGGAUAUGUCGUGUUGAUUGUGAUGGCUCCUGGCGGUAGAUGUCGUCGCUGUUGGGGUGCUGUCGUAUUUUCUUCCUAUUAUAGAAUCGUGAAAGGAAAAUAACGGACUACGGGCGACGGGAUUCGAUCCCGGGUUCCAAAACGUUCGUAACCUAUGUCGCUAACCACUGCGCUAUCGUCGUCCGGUUUUAGUUAGUGUCGAAAAGGCGGUAUUUGUGCUGUCGAGUGUCGCCACAUUUCUUUGUGAUUACAAGAUAACGUUGCAUGUAACCAAAAGAGACGAAAUUUCCUCUCUGAUACUGGAAUCGAAACUACCCCAUCUAUGGCUUGCUGCUAGAACUAGGGUUUGGUGUAAGCGAUAACACAGAGUGAGGUUCUUAUCAUCGGUCACUAUGGGAUAUGAGCAAGUACGGACGCAGUAUUAUACUAAAUACAAAGAUCAAAUUGGCAUACCAUUUGUGGUGAGCUAAAAACUUAUGUCUAUUUAACAAGUUAAUGGAAGGAAUAAGGUAACAUAAAAGUCAUUCCAUAUGCAAAGAGUCUGCAGCUCUGCUUUCUGCUGAAAAUAGCAUCCACGAGGUCUAAUUUCAACGCUUAACUUUCCAUUUAAAUAUGCUCAAUAUUCUCUACCAUGAGUUUGCACUGUUUGUGAUUUAAUUACUUUAUGUAAUUGUAUUUUAAAUGUCUUUUAGAGGCUUUCAUUAAAUGUUUUGUUAAACUGAUUAGUUAAAUUAAUACAAAGCGUCUAAAAUACAUUUAUAUGUUUAUUUACCGUUACAAUUCCGUGUCAUUUAUUUUCAUUGAAUGCAAAAAUUAGGAAUAUUCAUCAGUCUUUAAUAGAAUUUGUCAUGUGUACACGACUAAUUAAUCUUAUCACGGCUACAGAAAAGAGUAUCCUCGUAUAUACAGACACUCUUAUAUAAUUCACAUUAUACUUAAUAAAAUUUACAAUUCAGAUGCAAUUCAGAUUCAAAUUCAUGCAAUAGCGCUCGACGUAGCUUAGACCUUCGUAACCUGAGCGUAGACGAGAUCGUGCCAUGACGGUGCCGCAAAAAACCAUCGCUACCUGCCAGGUGAACGAGCCAAAGGCACAAUGACACAUAAUUAUUCACGAUAGCUGAUUGUUAUUUAAUCGGAGCUAGUUUUUACAAGCAAAACAAAGAACCCUGCAAUCCAAUUAUGCAUUUAUGAAUGCAAAGAUCUCAUCAUUCUAAAGAAUAUAUAUCUCUAUUAUUAAUAUAUAUUAUUAUUAUUACAUACAUAAUUAAUAAAAUAUUAUUGCAUUACACACAAUUUGACAAAAAGAUAUUUUGAACAAAAGCUAAUAGGCUCCCAAUCGACUACAAGUUUCAAUGCAUGAAAUUUCAAAAAAAUUGUUGUUUCGAUAAAAUGUGACUUUAUACUACGAUCUUGAAAUGUCCCUCAAUCUUGAAACCUUCUGUAACAGCAACAGAUAUUUUCUUCAUUAAUGCUGAAAAAGUUCUCAGCUGUUGUAACAUAUACCAAAUAUUCAAUGAAUAGAUACUACAACGAUAUUAAAUCAUUAUUACAAUUAAAUGGAUGUAAAUAUGUUAUUUAUUUUUAAUACUUAGGGUGUUCACAGUUUAAAGCUUAUUUAUGUUUUUGAUUAAUGUCAACAAUUUUGAAGUUAAGAACGUCACUGAAUUGCACAUAAAUAAUAUAUUAUCGAUUCCAUAGUAUAAUAUAUAAUUAUAUUAUGGAAUUGCUAUCUACUUCAGCUUAUAUAAAUGAUAAAAAUGUGUUAUUUGUAAAUUAUUCUUAAUACGUUAUCUUUUCCGCUCAAUACCCCUUAUGAAUUUUAAUCCGAAACAUGAAACCUUAUCAAGGCCUAUUUCGAUGAAAACCCAAGGUCUAGUGUUCGUGAGAUAGCAGAUGCUGUAAACAUGAUCUAAGACUGAUAAACCAGCGCACAGAUGUAGACUCAGUUAAAGAUGUAAACCCAGUGCAGAGAUGAUGACUGACCGGACGAUGGUAAACCAGUGUAGAGAUGUUGACUGAUCUGUAGAUGUAAAAACGGAUUGAACUGUCCGCGAAUGACCACAGGAAACACGAGAUGUGAUGUCAAACAUGUGGUGUAACAUGUGAUAUGUCAUAACCUCUACGUAUGCAACACUAUUGCAAGGAGAAAACCAAGUUAAUAAAGACUGGUGCCCGAGAAACCAAGUUUGGUCAAAAAGUUAAAGCACCAACAAUAAUAAGAUAAAACUGCCAUAUACAUGUUUGGCAAUUUAAGAAGCACCACGGAAGAUAAGGAAUUCGAAAUUUGUUUAGAGCGUCGAUAGAAACCUAACAUCCGAUAGCCAACGACUUUUGCUCACUUAAUUUCUUGGGAACUGACGAAUUUAUAACGUUUUACAACAGUACAUGACUUCACGUGCAAGGUUAUUGAAUUCAUUCCAGCAAUCUUAAUAGUACGUACUGAGAAAAAAAUAUUUAUGUGGUUCCAUGCUGCGAUGAGAAAAUAUUUCUGCCAUUGGAAUUAUUGCGCGAUAUUGUUAUUCUCAAAGUUGUCUAUCUCGGAUAGGCAAAUAGAUAUGAACUUUUCCGUAGAACCAUACAAUUAAAUAGGUUCUUGUACCGUGGAAAACAAUAGGUUCUUGUCUAUACUAGCGUGUAACCAAACAGUUCGGAUCCAUAAUUUUAUAGAAUAUUGUAUAUGGUAGCGUGUGUCAUCUUCAGUACCUAGCCGCAUUGUGCACUACUAGUCCGGGAACAACCAGAACCAUAAACUUGAACGCUCUCAUUCCUUCUCUAAUACUACUAAAGUACUCGAAAAAUACAACUGCUGAUCAAAUAUUCCUCUCUCUGGAGGCAUACAAGUAUGCACAUACACAUGAAUGCUGUUAGCUUCCAUUGAUUCUUCUUUAAUAAGUACUUUAUCGAGUGAACGUCGUUUAUGAGUAGAGGACGCUGAAAUGAGUGUCGAAUUUCCAAGUCGGUAAGACAGUUACAUCGGGCCACAAAGAUGCAAAAGAGUGUUUAAAUAGCAAGGAAAAAAUAAAGGGAAAAUACAAGAAAAGGCCAAGUGGAAAGGAAGUUAUGCAACAAAAAUAAUGGAUUGAUCUGUUUGGAUGAUAACUGGGUAUUAACCUGUAUCAAUAGAUGCUACUUUUCCUGUAUUU